This 500-nucleotide ribosomal RNA is filed under the name uncultured bacterium. RNAcentral describes it as "partial 16S ribosomal RNA". It matches the Rfam family "Bacterial small subunit ribosomal RNA", at positions 899 to 1397 of the family's 1533-position model. The record is from RNAcentral.
ACUCAAAUGAAUAGACGGGGGCCCGCACAAGCAGCGGAGCAUGUGGUUUAAUUCGAAGCAACGCGUAGAACCUUACCAGGGCUUGACAUGUAGCGAAUCCUUCAGAGAUGAGGGAGUGCCCGCAAGGGAGCGCUAACACAGGUGGUGCAUGGUUGUCGUCAGCUCGUGUCGUGAGAUGUUGGGUUAAGUCCCGCAACGAGCGCAACCCCUAUUGUAUGUUGCCAGCAGGUAAAGCUGGGCACUCAUGCGAGACUGCCGGUGACAAACCGGAGGAAGGUGGGGAUGACGUCAAAUCAUCAUGCCCCUUAUGUCCUGGGCGACACACGUGCUACAAUGGGCGUCACAAAGCGAACCGAAGCCGCGAGGUGGAGGAAACCGCAAAAGGCGCUCGUAGUUCAGAUCGCAGGCUGCAACUCGCCUGCGUGAAGCCGGAGUUGCUAGUAAUCGCGGAUCAGCACGCCGCGGUGAAUACGUUCCCGGGCCUUGCACACACCGCCCGU